Molecule: long non-coding RNA, 12177 nt
Organism: Leopardus geoffroyi (Geoffroy's cat)
Lineage: Eukaryota; Metazoa; Chordata; Mammalia; Carnivora; Felidae
Exons: 2
Source: RefSeq, a predicted model, not a curated record
GAACCAAAGCCGGAUGCUUAGCCGGCUGAACCACCCAGGCACCCCAGAAAGGAGUUGCAAUUUUAAAUAGAGCAGUCAGAGUGAGUCUCACUGAGACCUUGCAUUGAGUCUGACAUGCAGCUCUCUGGGGCAGAGUGAAUGUUCCAGGCAGAGGGAGCAGCCAGUGCAAGAAUCCUGAGGCAGGAGCACCUGAGGACCUAUGAGGAGUAGUCAGGAGUCCACUGUGGCCGGAACAGGGUGAGUGGGAGGCACAAAGGAAGGACGGAGAGGUCGGCCCUGCCCCAGUCGGAACCUGUAAGGAUUUUCAUUUUCACUCUGUGGGACCUUUGAACAGAGAAGCAUAUGACCUGAGUUGUGUUGUAAAAGAUUGUCUGUCGGUGCUGAGUUCAGACUGGACUCAGGAGGGGCAGGGAGGCUGUGGAGAGACCGGGCAGAGAGGCCACUCACUGCAGGAAUGCGGAUAAUCCAGGACCGUCCUGUCUGCAAAGUCUCCUUUGUCAUGAACACUGGGAUUCCCAGGUUCCAGGUCUUGUCCCUGGCAUUCACUUUACCCUUGUGUGUGGUCUCCACGUGCUGGAAGGGCAGCUUCAGCGGUCUGGCAACUUAGAGCUUACAGGAAGGAGCCAAGAGCUAGAAAGAACAGCUUCCUGACUCUUCAUUUUCCUGGGACAAAGACUGAAUAGAAAAUCCUGUUAUUAGAAAGGGAGCUUUCCAGGGAAAACACUGAAGCAACAGCCUCUCCUUCGCAUUGUUCUGUUUCCAGAAACUGGAGGAGUAUUCUGCACAGCCAGGGACCCAGGCUCAGUUAAUGUGUAAGCUGAAGACCACUCAAGACCGCAACUCAUUGGCAGCAACAAAAGCCACCAGUCAUACUGGAGGCUGCCACUUGCCGGCGCCUUUUGUAAGUGUCCUCUGUGUAUGAGUUAGGUAUUUGUACCCCUGUUUUACAUUUUUGAAGCUGUCCAGGGAGGCAGAAGAUGAAGCUCACGGUUGCAUGUGCAGGCAUGGGCAGCCUGCCUCUCGCUACGGGGGGCUAUGCUUUCUUCCUCCCGACGGAUCACAGAGUUUUUCAGAGCCAGUUACGGAGAAGUUCAGGAAAUGCUUCUCGUGUUUUGAAGCUUGCCACAUUAGAUGUGAAUGUCUGCGGCACCACAAUGGCGUGUUGGUGCGAUUGUCACUCCAGACGCAGCAGCUCAGAUCAGCAGGGAGGUUUCGGCAGGGGAAACGUGGACCAUCACCAUGGGCGCUCUGCAGAUGCGGGUACAGUGAGCCCCCGCGCGGUCCCCAUGCACCUGUCGCCAUCACCACCACCUCCGCCAAGGGAGGACAAUCCAGGACCCAAGCAAAUCGUUAGCCCUUUGAUGUAUCAAGUAGGGAGGUGUGGGGAGAGGGGACCAGCCCAAGAUGUAGAAUCAGAAAGGCCAGGGCGUGAACCCUGGAGCCACCAAAUGCUUUACCAGCUGGGUGACCUCAGCUAAGACGCUGGGAGUUUCAGGAUCCUGGCUGUAAAAUGGAAAUAAUAAUCCAUCUUGGGGUUCGGUGUUAAGUGAGGUGACAGUGCUGGCCACCAGCAGGGCCACUCAUUAUGUCAUCUGCUGUGACGUGUAUAUCACGGGGCCUAGAACACCUCGUCCUCUCCCCUCCCCCCUCCCCCCUCUUACUUUGCCUUCACGCCGCUCUGAUCCCGAAAGACGGUUUCGUUCUGGCCUUGGGCGUCUCCAGUGGAACAUCUCCAACCACUUUAAUUCCUAUCUCCAGCAGGUGACAUUCGAAGAUGCUUCCCAUUUACCCCAGGAGUUGGGAAACACUGUAAUAUUCUCCUCUAAUUAUCUGUGUCUCAGUGGGAAGCCUGACAUUAUAAUUAACUUGGGCUCCUGUCUGGGAUGACAUUUUGCGCAGCAUAUUGUGUUCCUGGGUGAGCACCGUAGCAGAAGCUGGUAGCGUGCUCCCCGGUGACGCGGUUGGGUUUGAGCAGGAGAACUGGCACAGAGCCCCCGAGGGUGAAAUCAUAACUGGGAUUCCUGCAGGCCCCCCCCACCACCUCCCCAGUGCAACAGGGCAACUUUAAAAUUCACUACCAACUCCUGCCAUGGGUUACAGACCCCUGCCUGUGCCCUACCGACUGGCCGGAACACGUGAGCUAUGUUCUGGAGCUGCAUGAGGAGUGGGGCGCCUGGGUGGCUCAGUCAGCUGAGGGUCUGACUCCUGGCUUCUGCUCUGGUCAUGGUCUCACGGUUUCGGGAGUUCGAGCCCCGCAUCGGGAUUCUCUGUCUCCCUUUCUGUCUCUGCCCCUCCCCAACUUGGGCUGUCUCUGUCUCUCUCAAAAUAAAUAAACUUAAAAAAAAAAUUAAAGCUGCAUGAGGACUAGGGUUAAAAUCAAGACUCAUUUCUACAUCUGCUGGAUUAUGUCAUCCUCCCAUCUAUUAUGUAAAUGAAAGGGAAAAAUUAAGGCAAGAGAAUCUGAACAUGUUUUUGUCUGAAGACUCAAUGUUUCCGGUAAAUUCCAAUUGUCUUUUUACUCUGGCCAGGCAGUUAUCAGCCACCUCACGGUUUUCCUAAGUCCUCCCAGACCUGCACUGUCCGGGACAGCAGCUAGUAGCUAUAGGGACAGACAAGCGUAGGUUCUGGAGUUAGAAAGCCUGAGAUCCCGAGCCACCAAAUGCUGUCCUAUUUAUUUGUCAGAUUUAAACAAAAUGCAGAAUUUAAAUCCUCAGUCACACCUAGCCACAUGUCAAGUGCUGACUAGCCAUCCACAGACAGUGGCUACCAUAUUGGACAGCACAGGUACCGAACAAUUCUGUCAUCACAGAAAGUUCUAUUGGAUGGCACUGGCCUGGACCCUUAGCAAAACAAUGUUAACUCCACAGGUUAUCUAGAGCCUACCUCAGCUUGCCUUGGGCCGAGUUCUAUUUAGGGGAGACAUCCUGUUCCCCGAGACAGGUGUUCUUGGUUGUGCGGUCGGGCAUCAAACGUAUUUUACGAAUAAAAUGCCUUACGUUUCAAAAUUUGAAAAUAAGUGGGUUUUGUUAAAGUAAGCUAAGGGGAGGACAGAGUCACCCCUGUGGUGCCAUCAUUCUUGUUCCCUUUGGUUCUGAUCUGGCUUCUGAUUUCUCAGAUGGGGUGGGAGGCAGCUUUUGCAGAGAAAUCACAGCAGGCUCGUCACCACGUCUAAUGUCAAGGAGAUGGAAAGAGCCACUCCAAGGAUGAUCUUGUCAUUCUCUGCUCCGGGUGACACACACCUGCCCCCCGAGCAAGCCAGCAUACUUGUCUGUGCCAGCUUAGCCCUCUCACAGAACAGAUUCUCUUGCCUCAGCUCGGGUUUCGAAGGAAGGACAUUAACUGUCACGUGAAAAUCGCCACAGCAUUUACUGUCACUUUUUUUUUUUUUUUUUUUUUUUUUUGCUGGGAACAUUGCCUAGUUCAUCCCCCAAUGCUCCCAAAUAAGGUAUUUAGUUUAGAAUGCACCACCUGAGAAAGCUUUGCCUCGCUUGUGGAAAUGGUAUUCAUAAUUUAUUGUGUAUGCCUUUUCUUUCUUCCCUCGGCUGAUAAGAACACAGAGCCCCAUUGCCAUCAAGAUAAGAAGGAAGUGCAUUCUGAUGGUCUCAUUAUUGGAAUUCUUCUCUUCUUGUACAACCUACUACUGUAUUGUCCUUUAAUCCAUUUCAAAAGGAGGGAGGUUACUCAUUAAUUGGCACAUGCGAUUUUAUUCCUUUGUCUCCGGUUUCCUUUGUUUCCUGGGCACAGGUACGAUUUCUAAUCCAGAUACCUGAAAAAUACUUUUGUCUGGUUUGUAAUGGAGACUGGGGGCCAGGUGAGAGGUGGUGCAGUCAUCUGUUUAUAAUGUUCAACCAAACAAUCGACUGAUACGUCCUGUGUGUGGAGGCUGCUAGAUCCCCCAUGUCCAACAGGAAUACAAUGUAAUCUGUAUCUCCGUUGUUAGCUUCCUAGUAGCCAUUUUUUAAAAAAAUGUAAAAAGCAAGUGAAACUGAUUUUUAAUUUUUUUUUAGCGUUUACUUAUUUUUGAGAGUGAGAGAGUCCGAGCGGGGGAGGGAUAGGGAGAGAGAGAGGGAGACACAGAAUCUCUAGAAGGUUCCAGGCUCUGAGCUGUCAGCACAGAGCCCGACGUGGGGCUUGCACUCACAAACCAUGAGAUCGUGACCUAAGCCGAAGUCAAACGCUCAACCAACUGAGCCACCCAGCUGCCCCAAGACUAAUUUUUAAUGCAUAUUCUAUUUAACCCAAAUAGUCAAAAUCUUAUUAUUUCAACAGACUCAAUGUAAAAAAUUGAGACAUUGUACAUUCUUUUUUUUUCCACACUAAGUCUUUGAAAUGCAGCGUGUAUUUUACACUCUGGGCACAACUCAGUUCGGAGGCUAAAUUUUUAAUGGUUCAAGUGAAAUGUAGUCCCCUCAAAACAAAGCUGUGUAGAGUGGAGAAAAAAAAAUAUUAUAUACAUUUCUUCGGUUUUCAGAUGUAAACUUAAGUUAAUUAAAACAAAAACAAAUCAUUCAUUGUCUCAGUCCCACCAGCCAAAUCCCAAGUGCUUCGCGGCCACACGUAGCUAGUAGCCGCCGUGUCCGAUGGCAUGGAUCUAGAUGCUCUGAGAGCUACAAACAGGAUAAAAAACAGCCCUUGCCUCAAAAGAGCUUCCCGUCUGGCAGACAGGAUGAAGUUUAUACACACACGUAUUAUGAUGCAGUGCAGAACGAAUCCAUUGUCCCCAGAAGUCAAAGCAGUAAGUGCAAGCCUUUGGAGCAAGGGUGUCAUUUCUUUUGGCUCUGUGUGGUUUAAACAAUAAUACUUACUACUCGCAGACUUGACAUUGAAACCCAGGCCUUGUAGGACUGACUGGGUGCCAGUGAUCCCACCCACAGCAGAGAGGAUGGAGGAGGCCAGCGGGAAUGCCCUGGGCAGCGGCACAUGGGAAAGGUCAAGGCCACUGGCUCAAUACCAGGCUGUUCUCUUUCUUCCUGCUAGUUAAUGAGAUUAGUGUCUCGAGCCUCGGCACUGACCUACCUUCACAUGCACCGGGCAGAUCAUCUUUUGUGUCAGAACUACAAUGUUGCUGCUGUGCUCGGCCCGGGCAGCUCCACGCUGGGCCAAGGCUGCCAUGAGAAAUACCUGCAGACCCUUUCCUCCACCUGGAGAAGCCAUCCCGAGGACAGGUUGUUCCUGCAGACUGGCCCGCUGCUUCCGUCCCAGAACUCAAAGACAUUAUCAUGUCCAGAGUCCCACGUGACCCAUGUUGGCUUUGCGAUGAUCUUUGCCCAGCGCUUGACUUGUCUUUGCUUCACUGUAAAAAGAAUCGUAGCUUCUCUCAAACUUUGAUUUAUAAAAAUACCCGAAGCCUUGGCGGGCAGAUUAAUCCUCCAAGGAACAUCUCAUCUGCUGAUGUGUCCCCGUCCCCUGUUGGGGUGGCCUCAACUCUUGAGAAGCUAUAGCAGAUAACAGGACUAAUCAGGUGAUAAUAUUUGAGGUACUAACUUUAUAAUAGUCCCAGCUCAUUCAUAUUCAUAUAUGCUAAUUUUAGCACACAUUAAUUAUGUGUUUAAUAAGUCCCCUGUUUAUUCUAUUUUGUCUCCAUUCCCUUGAUAGCUGUUAUGGUGUGGGGUUGAAAAUAAUUAAAAUGUUACUUGUGUUCUGCAAAUAACAAAUAACCAAGGAUGAAUUCUGAAAUCAAAAUCCCAUUCUCUUCCCCUCUCUCUGAUUAAAUACAGUGAGUGAAACGGCAGCCCAGUGUAGCUCUGUUCCCCGCGCAGUUGGUGUGUUUCCCUUUUCAGGGUGGUAAGUGCCAGAGAUGGGUCCUGGCCUGACUCAAACAGCCUCCGUUGCCUUGGGCUCCUAUCUUCUUUUUUUUUAUUUUUUUUAUUUUUGGGACAGAGAGAGACACAGCAUGAACAGGGGAGGGGCAGAGAGAGAGGGAGACACAGAAUCGGAAACAGGCUCCAGGCUCUGAGCCAUCAGCCCAGAGCCCGACGCGGGGCUCGAACUCACGGACCGCGAGAUCGUGACCUGGCUGAAGUCGGACGCUUAACCGACUGCGCCACCCAGGCGCCCCGGCUCCUAUCUUCUUGUGGACCUGGAGACACACAUUCGGGAGUGGUGAGCUCCCACGGGGCUGUGGGAGACGAGGAGGGAGGCUGUUCUCCACAGAACACACAGGGGGUUGGAAGCUGGCAAGUUCUGUCUGUGGGAAGCCCCCAGGGGGGCUGUGACGGACCCCAGCUUCCUCCCACACCUGGGUCCAAGCCACGUCUAGCCACCCGUCCUUCAGCAGUUCAGCACCUUGGAGAAGAGACAGCCCCCUGGCCUGUGAUUUUUGCAUGUUACCUGCCCAAAGGGUGGCACCACGACCUCAUGCAGGGCCUCGUCCUAGUCAGUCACCCUCUGGCUGCUCUUGCAGUGGCUGGUAGCUAUUGGGAAUAGACAUCGGGCCCCAUUUCCUGUUGCCUUGGAUCUCGUGCCACAUCUUGCCCUGCUCCAAAGUCCUACAAAAUACCAGCACAUAGUUACUCUUCCUGCCCCUGAACUCUUUCUUCCCUGACUGCUUCUCUUUCCUAACCCUGGGAGUGGCCCCAAGCUGUCGAUCUUUGCAGCCCAUGCCCAUGACAUGCCCCACUGUCAGCUUUGUAGAGCACAGAUCCCUCAGCUUGAGCCAAACAGCUAUUAUAAACGGGGCUCGAAUGAGUGCUUGAAAAGAAAUCCAUCGCCCCUUUUGGUCAGCAAUUCUACUCAAGAGAAAAUGCACAAGGAGGGGAAUCUCAAAUAGAUCUGUCUUGUUAAUGGGCUACCAAAAAAACUAAUUAGAAAAUAAUCCAGGGGUGCUUGGGUGGGUCAGUUGGUUAAGCCUCUGACUGUUGAUAUCAGCACAGGUCAUAAUCUCACAGUUCAUCAGUUCAAGCCCUGCAUUGGGCUCUGCACUGGCAGCUCAGAGCCUGCUUGGGAUUCAGUCUCUCUCUCUCUCUCUCUCUCUCUCUCUCUCUCUCUCUCAAAAAUAAGUAAGCUUAAAAAAAAAAGAAUAAUAAAAUAACCCAAAGCUUAUGGGAUUUGGAAUUUGGAAAUUGCCUUGGAAUGAUAGCAAUUUAGACUAGCCAAAUUCUCCAUUUCCACACGUAAGUAAGAGCUAGGAAUCAGAAUCUAUAGUUUUUAUCUUACUGUGUAAAUAACUGUGUGUGGUUUGUAUAUAUUACAACUUCAGCAAGUUGUGAUUUCCAGACCCGCGAAGGAAGGUGAGUCAGUGUGGCCCCACCUCCCUGCCUCCCAGGUGACAGGAGGAUAAACUUUGACCAGGGACAUGAGCCUGCCUGAGGAGUAAAGGGACCAGAGAGACAGUGGUUUCCCUGACUACCGGAUACAGUAGUUAAAAGCAGUGUUUGUCCACACCUUCCCUUCCACAUCCCCAUUUCCUCCGAGCCUCAGAGCGACAAAUUCAUCAUCUCUUGCUCUGAUUAAAGUUCAGAGCUGUCAUUUCCAGAUAUUUUGUUCAUUUGCUCUUCAGUAUGUUCUCAGAAAUGCUUCCCGGUGCAGAGAUGUUAGAGAAGAAGCAGGGACGUGCUGGUGGGGAAAAAAAAAAAAAAAAUCUCUGACUCCCAUUUUCAGGUGCAAAUUUUUAAAUGUCAAUACAGCAACAUAGCCGUCUUCUCCCGUCUGCUUUUAAUCAAAUGCUUUUCUCCAGCAGAGCCAUUUGUUUGCACAAUUAGCAAGUCCCAGAGGCAUCUUAACUUCCCUUUCUGUGCCCUGUUCUCAAGGGGCAGUCUCCCCUUCACACUAGGGCCAUGUGGGGCUUUUUUGUCAGGAGUGGGGUACAUGAUGAACUGAGCCACUGACCCCUCCAGAGGUCAGGGGAAAAUACCCAGGGGAGGAGAGCAGAGAGGUAGAAUUUUAGGCCCCAAGGACGGGGGGAGAUGCCGGGUUGUGUAUGGGGUUUGGUGGGGGUAUUUGGGGCCGUGCACCUUUCCAAGCUCCUUGGACUGUGCCCUGGCAGGGACACACUCUGCCCUGAUUUGCCCCAUCCUCCCGGGGCUCAGGAUAAGCUCUAGGUUUUGCCUCCCGGUGCUUCUGAAGAGUGCCCUGUUGCUUAGAGACAGGGCAGGACGCCUGGAGUGAAGAUAAGGUUGUCAAGGAAACCAAGCCACAAAUUCCCUUGUUUUUCUUCCAGUUGCUGGACAGAAGAGUAAAGGAUUUUCGCUCUGACAACUGGGAAGGUACCUUCUUUUCUGUGUGUGUUUUAGACAAACACCAAUUUGUUGUCCAAGAUACAGCCGAGUUAGUACCUGAGUCGACAAACAGGGUUGAGUUUUGCUUUUUUUUUUUUUCUUUUUAACAGCAGUGAGUGCUCUCUGACAGAGACAGAAUUAAGCAGCCACUGUAACGUGUAUCUUUUUUUCAGGUGUGUGGACCCCAGGACCCAACCCCCUCUGUUACACCACUGAGCUUUUUUGAAUCCUGAGUUUUCACUUAUUGCCCCAGCUUUUCUCUUUUGGUGGGAUUGUGAGUGUCUUUUUGGAAACUCGCAGCAGCAGCGGCCGCCCUUUCCGUCCUCCGUCUCUGAGUCAUUUCCAUGUUUCACAUGGUAGGAAUCAAGGAACGCAGACAUCUUCCUCUUAACUCUGGUGUUCAUAAUUCAGGAAAAAAAAGGCCUUUUGGGGUCAUCCUCAAGGGAUUCUUUGUUGAAGCCGCAGAAGUUCACAUCUGCUCUGUGCUCUUGUGUCAGUGGACUGCAGAGUCGGGGGUCCACAUAGUGGCACCCCCAAAUGCUCCCUCCACUCUGGGGAGUCUGAGGUACAGGUAAAGGGUUCUUCAUUUAUCGGUGGUGGCCAUUUUAGCUCCUGCUGGCAGCUUGAAGAAUCACCUGUGAGCGUGUGUCCCCUAGCUUUCUACAGACUUAAACCUGUUCCUACUUGUUAAGGAGAAGUGCAUCCUUGGCCCAUCUCCUUUUGUCCCCAUCUUCUGCCUGUGUAUUUCUCUUGAGCAGUGUUACCAGUUGUCUGAGUCCCUCUGAUGUGUUUCUCCGUGCCAUCCCCUGACCUUAUAAGGAACUUCUGCACCGCUCAGUGACACUUGGUUCUGCCCUUUUCCUGAGUUCUUGGGAACGUUUCAGCGCUCCAUGGAGACAUUGGAGGGUAACUCAAUCAAGUGAGGGGGGGUGGUGAAGACACAGUUACUGAGGGGAUGGUCUGCUCCAUUAGUGACCUAGAGAAAGGGCACCAGGAGCAGAGAGGAGGCAGCAGUUAACUCUGGGUCGGGGAUGCGAGUAGUCUGGGGAGCUGGGGAGGAAGGGCACACUAGGGCAGUUAGACAAUAAAAGAUGCAUAGGAUUUUGAUAAAUGGAAAGGGGAGAAAGAGAAGGGGCCUGGGUCUCUCUGGACCCCCAGACAUGGGUUGUCCUUGGCUAAAAUAUCCCUCCAGUGGUAACACACUAUUUUGUCUUGACUUCCAGUGUAGUGCUGAAGCUGUCUUUUCAGGGUUUUGCCCGUGAUCCCCUCCUCCCAUCCAAUGCCCUGGUGCUCCCUUAUUCACAAUUGGCCUCAGCCAGUAUGCUGCUCGGGUCUGUCCAGAGGCUGCCACAACCCCACCCUUCUCUGCUUCCUCCCCUUCCCUCUGUCCCCCUCCACCAUUUCUGGCCCAUCUUUUCACCUGGCCAACUUCCACUCAACCUUCAAUGCCCAGCUCAAGCAUCAUCUCCUUGGGGAACAUUACUUGAUCCCAUCUGCCCAGCAUGCCUCGGUGGCCCCUCCUGGUGACCCCAACCCUCAGGACUCCCCCCACAGCCUGCAUUUCCCAUUCUGCUCCACGCUGGCUUUAGAUUUCUAGACUCUCAAAAUCCAGACAGACACCUGCAGGUAGUGGCUCACCUUCCUCAUUUUUGGGGUUGGUUCUGUUCCCACCUGAAAUGGGGAAGGGCCUUGUACAGUGAGUCCCUGGUGAGCAGGGAGGUGGGAUAGGGAAGGAAGGCAUGCAGAGCUGAGGGGGACCCGGGGCUGCUGAGCAAAUGACCACAAACUCGGUAGCUUAAUGAACAGAAAAGUAUUGCCUCACAGUUCUAGAGGCUAGAAGUCCAAAGUCAAGGUGUCAGCAGGGUUGGCUCCUUGUGAGGCUGGGAGGGAAGGAUCUGUCCACACCUCUCUCCUCUGCUUACAGAUGGCAUCUUGUCCCUGUGGCUCUUGACAUCUUCCCUCUGUGCAUGUCUAUUCCAUAAGGACACCAGUCACGUUGGAUGAGGGGCCCGACCUACUCCAGGCUGACCUCCUCUUAAGUAAUUACAUCUGCACCACUGUAUUUCUAAACAAGGUCAUGUUCUGACGUACUAGGUGUUAGGACCUCAACAUAUGAACUGGGGCGGGGGGAGGGGGUGGGAACCGUGACAUUAUUCCACCCAUAGCACCCUCCUUCCAGGAAGACCAGACAAACACGUUCAACCUGCCUCUUCAAAACUUGGACUAUGAACAUAAACCACAUAUCACCUAAAUAUCAUCUAAUUAGUCACUCAGACCAGCCUAUUGAUGGCACGACAAUCUGUACCUGACCUGAAGGGCAGGUAGCCUGCAGGUUGAUUAAAUCAUUAAACCCAAAGAUCUCCAAGGCUGGAAUUCUGAUGCACUGUCACAAGGUGAAGACGGACAGAAGCAGGGACCUAAGUACAGUCCCGAAAUUAGAUUCCUCACCCCCAAACAGGUGAGAAAAGUGUCUUCAGGAGGAAGGAAGUGAAUUUGGAUUUUAAUUCCAUAAGAAGCUUAAUUGGGGGCGUCUGGGUGGCUCAGUCGGUUGAACGUCUGGCUCUUGAUUUCUGCUCAGGUCAUGAUUUCUCAGUUCGUGAGAUUGAGCCCUGCAUCGGGCUCUGUGCUGACAGCGCAGAGCCUGCUUGGGGUUCUCUCUCUGCCUCUCUGUCUCUCUCUCUCUCUCUCAAGGUAAAUAAAUAAACAUUAAAAAAACAGAAGCUUAAUCGUUCAUUCAAUCACGUAUUGAUUGAAGUGUUUGCUGCUCACCUCCUUUCUGCAAGGCGCGAGGUACCACUGGAGUUGAUAAGUGAACCUGGUGAAGCCGUUCCUUCCAGGGCUCAUGCUGUGUCUACUGUCACCUGGACAAGGGGAGGUACAAGGCAGGGUACCCUCCUCUGAGAAUCCAAUGAUAGAAGAGAGCCCCACAGCCUUGGUCUUGCAGACAAGGACCCCCCAGCAUGCUGGGCUAGAAACUGAGGCCAGAGUAGCAUCCAAGAUCACCGGGCCUUUUAGGCCAAAGCAGUGAAAAUGGAGGGGGUGUUGGCUGCUUUAUGUCUUGGGAGGACCACCAUGGGGAGCAGAGCCUGGGUUUGUCCCAUGUUCCCUCCCAAGCCGGAAGUAGAACGAACGAGUGAAAGGUAUAGGAGAAUAGAUGUUAGCACAGCAUAAGGAAUAACUUUUUCACAGUUGGAACUACCUAAAAGUGAACUAUUCUGGUUUAUCUCGAGAGGUAGUGAUCUUGUCAUAGCCAACCUGCUCUUUCUGGAGAAAGAGACCCCAGGAUCUGUCAUAGUCAGCCAUUCCUCUAUCUGAUGUAAUAUGACUGCCUCUAAAGAACCCUUGAAGUCAGAAAACACUCUCAAUCAAGCUAAUUGCUUUCUUUCCCAGACCACAGGGUUUGGAAGGAACUAGUUACUUAUUUAUUAGUGGAUUCGAGGUAAAUUUUCCUUUUGGAAAAAGAACUCUGUUCUUCAUAUUCCUCCACGUAAGCUCGGGCUGGGCUGUGGUGUAUGAAAUCUAAUCUCCUACCAGGAAAUGAUUAUUUAUUUGAACGCUUCCCCCAAAUCCAUUACGCACUCUGGAGCGUGAGUUUGGGGACGAUAGAUUUCAUAGCUGUGCUGUUGACACUUUGGGUUCAUUCUAUUCCAUACGAGCCCUUCUUCCACGCGUGGCCGGCAGUGAGUGAGGGGAUUAGGAAGUCCCCGCUGUGAUUGACAGAUGCCUCUGCAGAUAUGGAUCGCCUUUUCCACUAGCCUGGGAGUGUGUUCUUUGCCCCUGCUGCUUUCCUUAAUACGCUAGCUUUGCGCUUGUGGAUAAUUUGCGAUGUUCUUCAAGUAACUGUGCCACUGCUUUUCAAAUGUUUUGCUUCUUCUAAUUAAGAAAGGGAAUUGGAUGUACUCUUGCCUGGCUGAUUUUUUUUUUUUCCUCCUCUGCAUGGGAUGGGAACGGGAAGGAAGAG